This 257-nucleotide ribosomal RNA is filed under the name uncultured Gardnerella sp. RNAcentral describes it as "partial 16S ribosomal RNA". It matches the Rfam family "Bacterial small subunit ribosomal RNA", at positions 98 to 354 of the family's 1533-position model. The record is from RNAcentral. Lineage: Bacteria; Bacillati; Actinomycetota; Actinomycetes; Bifidobacteriales; Bifidobacteriaceae.
CGGAACGGGUGAGUAAUGCGUGACCAACCUGCCCCAUGCUCCAGAAUAGCUCUUGGAAACGGGUGGUAAUGCUGGAUGCUCCAACUUGACGCAUGUCUUGUUGGGAAAGUGUUUAGUGGCAUGGGAUGGGGUCGCGUCCUAUCAGCUUGUAGGCGGGGUAAUGGCCCACCUAGGCUUCGACGGGUAGCCGGCCUGAGAGGGCGGACGGCCACAUUGGGACUGAGAUACGGCCCAGACUCCUACGGGAGGCAGCAGGC